GGGGAAUGGCGGAAUGGCAGACGCUAUGGGAUGUAUGGUCAAGGUCUAAUCGAGGUGACGAGUUGAGCCUGCUAGCAACUGUACAUCCAUCACCUUGCAGGUUCGAAUCCUGCUUCCCCUA
This 121-nucleotide transfer RNA is filed under the name Clostridiales bacterium. RNAcentral describes it as "tRNA-OTHER". It matches the Rfam family "tRNA". From Rfam's summary of the family: Transfer RNA (tRNA) molecules are approximately 80 nucleotides in length. Lineage: Bacteria; Bacillati; Bacillota; Clostridia; Eubacteriales. The record is from RNAcentral.